This is a long non-coding RNA of Oncorhynchus tshawytscha (Chinook salmon), 566 nucleotides long. The record is from Ensembl. NCBI's taxonomy places the organism in Eukaryota, Metazoa, Chordata, Actinopteri, Salmoniformes, Salmonidae.
GCAUGUGUAUUUGGCAACCAACCUGGUGUUGCUAGAGGAAUUUAAAGAACAUUUGCAAUAUGAAGUCUAAAAAGAAACUAAAAAGAUAUGGGUCCUGAGAUCCUCGAAAGGUUCUACAGCUGCAACACCAAGAGCAUCCUGAACGGUUGCAUCACUGCUUGGUACGGUAAUUGCUCGGCUUCCGACCGCAAGACACUUCAGAGGGUAGUGCGACGGCCCAGUACAUCACUGGGGCAAAGCUGCCUGCCAUCCAGGACCUCUACACCAGGCGGUGCCAGAGGAAGGCCACCCCAGACAUAGACUGUUCUCUCUACUACCGCAUGGCAAGCGGUACCAGAGUGCCAAGUCUAGGACAAAAAGGCUUCUCAACUGUUUUUACCCCCAAGCCAUAAGACUCCUGAACAGGUAACCAAAUGAUUACCCGGACUAUUUGCAUUGUGUGCCCCCCCAACCCCUCUUUUUACACUGCUGCUACUCUGUUCGUCAUAUACAGUGCCUUGCAAAAGUAUUCGGCCCCCUUGAACUUUGCGACCUUUUGCCACAUUUCAGGCUUCAAACAUAAAGAU